UCGGUCUUGCGAUCUGAACCUGAGAGUUUGAUCCUGGCUCAGAACGAACGCUGGCGGCAUGCCUAACACAUGCAAGUCGAACGAAGGCUUCGGCCUUAGUGGCGCACGGGUGAGUAACACGUGGGAACCUGCCUUAUGGUUCGGAAUAACGUCUGGAAACGGACGCUAACACCGGAUGUGCCCUUCGGGGGAAAGUUUACGCCAUGAGAGGGGCCCGCGUCGGAUUAGGUAGUUGGUGUGGUAACGGCGCACCAAGCCGACGAUCCGUAGCUGGUCUGAGAG
RNAcentral lists this ribosomal RNA (282 nucleotides) under Azospirillum sp. Sh1. Its description in RNAcentral is "partial 16S ribosomal RNA". It matches the Rfam family "Bacterial small subunit ribosomal RNA", at positions 1 to 298 of the family's 1533-position model. The record is from RNAcentral. Lineage: Bacteria; Pseudomonadati; Pseudomonadota; Alphaproteobacteria; Rhodospirillales; Azospirillaceae.